Molecule: ribosomal RNA, 479 nt
Filed under: uncultured bacterium
Lineage: Bacteria
Description: partial 16S ribosomal RNA
Rfam family: Bacterial small subunit ribosomal RNA
Source: RNAcentral
GACGAACGCUGGCGGCGUGCUUAACACAUGCAAGUCGAGCGAUGAAGCACCUUCGGGUGUGAAUUAGCGGCGAACGGGUGAGGAACACGUGAGAGAUCUGCCUUCAACACUGGGAUAACUCCGGGAAACCGGGGCUAAUACCGGAUAUGAAACCUGCGGGCAUCCGCGGGGUUGGCAAGUUUUUCGGUUGAAGAUGAUCUCGCGGCCUAUCAGCUUGUUGGUGAGGUAAUGGCUCACUAAGGCGACGACGGGUAGCCGGCCUGAGAGAGCGACCGGCCACACUGGGACUGAGACACGGCCCAGACUCCUACGGGAGGCAGCAGUGGGGAAUAUUGGGCAAUGGAGGAAACUCUGACCCAGCGACGCCGCGUGCGGGAUGAAGGCCUUCGGGUUGUAAACCGCUUUCAGCAGGGAAGAAGCGAAAGUGACGGUACCUGCAGAAGAAGCACCGGCUAACUAUGUGCCAGCCGCCGCAGUAA